GAUUAACGCUAGCGGCAGGCAUAAUACAUGCAAGUUGAACGGCAGCACAGGUAGCAUUACUGGGUGGCGAGUGGCGCACGGGUGCGUAACACGUAUGCAACCUACCCUAUACAGGCGAAUAACCUUUAGAAAUGAGGGCUAAUACGCCGUAGUAUUACAGAUGGGCAUCUAUUUGUAAUUAAAGAUUUAUCGGUAUAGGAUGGGCAUGCGUCCCAUUAGUUAGUUGGUAAGGUAACGGCUUACCAAGACGAUGAUGGGUAGGGGAUCUGAGAGGACUUACCCCCACACUGGUACUGAGACACGGACCAGACUCCUACGGGAGGCAGCAGUAAGGAAUAUUGGGCAAUGGCCGCGAGGCUGACCCAGCCAUGCCGCGUGCAGGAAGACGGCCUUAUGGGUUGUAAACUGCUUUUAUACGGGAAUAAUAGAGUGUACGCGUACAUUUAUGCAAGUAUCGUAUGAAUAAGCAUCGGCUAACUCCGUG
RNAcentral lists this ribosomal RNA (484 nucleotides) under uncultured bacterium. RNAcentral's name for it is "partial 16S ribosomal RNA". It matches the Rfam family "Bacterial small subunit ribosomal RNA", at positions 28 to 507 of the family's 1533-position model. The record is from RNAcentral.